UUAGUUCGCCAAGAAUUUGUCAUU
This 24-nucleotide small nuclear RNA is filed under the name Arabidopsis thaliana (thale cress). RNAcentral's name for it is "snRNA_09778". The record is from RNAcentral. Lineage: Eukaryota; Viridiplantae; Streptophyta; Magnoliopsida; Brassicales; Brassicaceae.